AGCAGCCGCGGUAAUUCCAGCUCCAAUAGCGUAUAUUAAAGUUGCUGCAGUUAAAAAGCUCGUAGUUGAAUUUCGGGACCAAUCUGCCGGUCGUGCCUCCGGUACGCACUGGUUUUAUUGGUCUCUCCCUUCUGACGAACCAUGAUGUCAUUAAUUUGGUGUCAUGGGGAAUCAGGACUGUUACUUUGAAAAAAUUAGAGUGUUUAUAGCAGGCUCACGCUUGAAUACAUUAGCAUGGAAUAAUGAAAUAGGACGUUUGACCCUAUUUUGUUGGUUUCUAGGAUCGACGUAAUGAUUAAUAGGGAUAGUUGGGGGCAUUAGUAUUCAAUUGUCAGAGGUGAAAUUCUUGGAUUUAUUGAAGACUAACUACUGCGAAAGCAUUUGCCAAGGAUGUUUUCAUUAAUCAAGAACGAAAGUUAGGGGAUCGAAGACGAUCAGAUACCGUCGUAGUCUUAACCAUAAACUAUGCCGACUAGGGAUCGGAUGAUGUUAAUUUUUUUAAUGACUCAUUCGGCGCCUU
Molecule: ribosomal RNA, 520 nt
Filed under: uncultured Glomus
Lineage: Eukaryota; Fungi; Glomeromycota; Glomeromycetes; Glomerales; Glomeraceae
Description: SSU rRNA
Rfam family: Eukaryotic small subunit ribosomal RNA
Source: RNAcentral